Paramuricea clavata is the source of this 231-nucleotide non-coding RNA. NCBI's taxonomy places the organism in Eukaryota, Metazoa, Cnidaria, Anthozoa, Malacalcyonacea, Plexauridae. The record is from the annotation of a GenBank genome assembly.
CUAUGUUAUUGUUUAGUCGGUUUAAAUGUUAGAAUUUUCUUCUUUAAACUUUAAUGUUGUCGUCACUACAUCUGGAAAACCACGUAAGAACAAAUUAAAAGUAUUUUAAAAGAGACCAGGUUGUUUGAAAAUUCUAAACGAAUGCUAAAAAUCGUCAAAACAUUCUGGUGUCUGAGCCAGAGUGUCAUCGAAUUGCGAUGUAAUGUAAACAGAAAUUACAGCAAGUUGAUG